GGGGCCGAUCUGGUUUCGACGUGGGUGCGGAGUCGGGAUAGUGCAUGUCGAGCACCAGUUCGCUCGUUAAACCACUGGAAACAAGUAACUGCAAACGACGAACAGUUUGCCCUCGCCGCUUAACACCGGUGAGCCCCUCAACGGUUGGCCGAUGGGCCGGGCCUGAGCCGCAAGGCAAAGGCUGAGGGGUCAUUCACAUUGGCUGGUUGUCUGGCGGGCCACUCGUCAGAUGAUAAGACUCAGUGGCUGGCGACCUGGGCAGCGUGCCGCUGCGCGGUUCAGGGCGUGAGACUCAAAUCAGACGGCUAAACAUGUAGAUCUACCUGGCGAUGGCUUGCGGACGGGGGUUCAAUUCCCCCCGGCUCCACCA
RNAcentral lists this transfer-messenger RNA (370 nucleotides) under Vitreoscilla filiformis. It matches the Rfam family "transfer-messenger RNA". Rfam says of the family: Bacterial tmRNA, also known as 10Sa RNA or SsrA, is named for its dual tRNA and mRNA-like properties. Lineage: Bacteria; Pseudomonadati; Pseudomonadota; Betaproteobacteria; Neisseriales; Neisseriaceae. RNAcentral also lists the same sequence under 1 other name. The record is from Rfam by way of RNAcentral.